RNAcentral lists this unclassified non-coding RNA (1560 nucleotides) under Hevea brasiliensis (rubber tree). Lineage: Eukaryota; Viridiplantae; Streptophyta; Magnoliopsida; Malpighiales; Euphorbiaceae. The record is from RNAcentral.
CUGAAGUAAAAAAUUUUAAUGGACUUCAUUAUUUAAUUUAGUUUAAUUAAAUAUUUCUUAAGUUCAUUUAAAAUCUUGAAAAAUAUUAGAUUAAGCUCAAUUAAAUAAAAAUUGCUUAUGGCCCCUAUAAAAACCUUUUAUUUUAAAACAAUGCAAUCAAUUUUCUAAAACGUAAAAAUUAUUUUAUUUUAUUAAUUUUUAGUUAUUCUAUAGUCUUCAAAAUGCUUUAAGGUCUUUUCCAUCCAAUGGUAUUUUUAUCAUAAGACUCUUCACUACCUUUCAAAUAUGCUUAAAACAGGGGUUAAAAAGUAGGUGUAUGGAGAAUAAUACCCCCAAAAGACCUUUAUAUGAAGUCGUUAAGCAACCUUAUAUAAAACCACGGUUCAUCCUAGAGGAGUGGAGGUUAUUGUUAGGAAUGACAAUUAGAACAAUUAGAAUGUUUAGCAAUUUUGUUUUAUAAUUGAUUCAUUAUUGGGACAAUUAGUUAUGGAUAUAAAUGUACUAAGAGCCACUGUAGAGGGAAGCUAAUACAAGAAUUCAAUACAAUUUUCUUCUAAAUUCUUCUUCUCCUCUCUUCCUAAUCUUCCCUUUCUUUAUCUUUUUUCUCUCCCUUUCUCUCUCUAUUCUUUUUGUAUUCUCUCCCCUUUCUUCUACUUUUCUCCCUUUUCAUCUGUUUUCUCACUACCCAAACACUCUUGUUGUGUCCAGGUCACAACAAUAGCUGAUAGCAUUCAUAAUAAUCAUUAAACAUCUCCUACUAGUUUAAUUAAGGGCAUGUUUAGUGCAACUGUAUUAAUCAUUUGUGAGCAAAUGGUGGUCAAUGUUCAGCUGUAAAUGGCCAACGAUCAGUGAUUAGUUGGUUGUAGUUGGCAAUGGCAAUUGAUUGUAAAGCAUUUGCUAACUUUGGGGGCUGGACUUGCUGUCAUAUUAUAAAAUUACCAACAAGGACUUUUUAUUUUUGUUACAUAUUAUAUAAUAAAUUUUAUUUAUUAUACAAAAAUGAAUUCUCUCUUAUAAAUAAUAAUUUUAGUAAUAUAGACAUCUACACAUGCAAAAUUAUUAUAAAUUUUUUUUAAAUAUUUAUUUGAUUAUUUUGAUAACUUUAAUGAAUUAAUGCGUUUGGCAACUUAAGUCUGUGUAUGUUUAAAAGGUUAAAAAUACAAAUAAGUAGUGUUGUUUAUUUUUAAAUUAUUAAUAAGUAUUGUUGGAUUCAUUUUGAAAUUCAAUGGCAUAUUUUUAUAAAAGCUGGCUUUAAGGUCUAAAAGGAUUUCUAGCUUAUAUUGCUUUUGCAGUGUUUAAUUAAAAAAAUCAAAAGCCAGCUUUUGGUAUUUUAAUGUUUUUUGGUUUACCAAACACUUGUAAUCUAGUCAUUGAAGUUUCAACGCUGACUGCUGGUUCCAAAAGCUGAACAAAAAACUAACCUUGUGUUUGGACGGGAGAAUUUGAAAUAUGAUAUUUGAAUUUGAUAAAGUAUAUGUUUUGUUCAAUUGAUUAGAGUCAUGAAUAUAUAUUAGGCCCAUAAAUGUGGUAAGUAUCUUGAGUGUGGAUUUGAAAUAAUUU